CGAGAGCGUUCUGGGGACGGGUGUGCUAGCGGCUGUGCGGCUGUGGAAAGAUGCUCCGAGUAGUGAAGACGCUGCUUGCGGAACUGGCUGAGAAAGGCUUUGAUGGUGUUCAGGGUUUUGCGCUGGAAGAAACAACGUACACAUCCCCGGAAGCCUUAAUCCACGUCCCGCAAGGAAAGCGUCCUGCAAGACUGACCAUGUUGAAGAUCUUGUACGUGGACUUCUGCUGACAUCCCACCACGCAGGACGGACCACUGGGGCAGGGCUUCAGUGAGCUAAAGUGCCCAUUUCUCCAGGCUACAUACCUGAGUCCACGCCUCGUCUGCCAGGAUCUCGGAGGUUGUCCUGUCUCUACACCGGAGGUGCCCACAGGGCGAGGGGACCUCUCAAAUCUGUCGACCUGUAACUGCUGAAAGUCCGUGGACUCCAUGUCACCGAUGUCAAAGCCGUCCCUCAGAGAUAAGGACAACAGUCGUGGGGAAGUGCCGGAGAGCGGGGAUGGCAGAGCCCUAAUUAGAAAUGCCGGCUCUGCACCUGCUCUGAACGUCUGUGAGGAGGGGCCUCCGCCCCAGAGAUGUCCCCGGAAGGGGCACAGGAAUCCUCAGGCGCUCACGGUGCCGAGGCCCUUCUGGCAGCCUGUGUCACCUCCGCCAGGUCAGGCCUCAGCCCUGCCACUAGGGGUGCAACCCCGGGGGCUCCUCCCAUGGCUGAAGAGGGGGC
Mustela lutreola (European mink) is the source of this 720-nucleotide long non-coding RNA. RefSeq lists it as uncharacterized. The transcript has 4 exons. NCBI's taxonomy places the organism in Eukaryota, Metazoa, Chordata, Mammalia, Carnivora, Mustelidae. The record is from RefSeq and is a predicted model, not a curated record.